Long non-coding RNA from Diorhabda carinulata, 2726 nucleotides. RefSeq lists it as uncharacterized. The record is from RefSeq and is a predicted model, not a curated record. The transcript is spliced from 4 exons. Lineage: Eukaryota; Metazoa; Arthropoda; Insecta; Coleoptera; Chrysomelidae.
CCAGGAUGUGGUUCAUAAUCUAAGUAGUUUAUCUAUGGCUGAACCACAGUUAGUAACCGUCACUUUUAGUUGUUAAAUGUGAUUUUACAUUACGUUUAAGUGGACAUUAUGGUGUUAUUUGUCUGUAGAAUAAAAGACGCGAGAAAUUUGGGAUAAGAUCCAUACUCAAAUUCAAAUACUACCAUGGACUCUCAAGAUUUCCGGAUUUAUACCCAAGUGAUCACGUUAACGUUUAAACAGUAGAAGAUUGAGACAUUAAUAGUGCUCUCUUCAAACUUCGAUGCUAAAAAACAAUAUAAAAUCAAUAUGACUAAAAUCCGUAAUUUAAAGUGGAUAGUUAACAGUUCCAUUAUUACCUGUCUAUAUGGGGAGUGCAUUCUUUGAAUAAUUUUGAACGGAUAAGGAGGAGUUCCAUCUUAUAUCCAAAUCAUGUGAUCAAGUGGUGAUUAUUUGGGGUGCAUUCUCAAGCAUAAAUUCUAAAUUAUUUUAAAUUAAGUACUGUAGCAUGGAAAAAUUUCCGUCGGAAGGAUUGUUAUUACACCAAAACUGCAAACCAGAGAUAUGCCCCCGCAAUGGUACGCUUCACAGAAUACAAGGCAUAUAUCGAAAAAAUGUACAGGAAUACAUAUUAUACAGGGUCAAAAAAUCGACGUCAAAAAUAAAAGUCGUUCCUGUGAUUGCUCGUGGGCAUAUCUAUUCAGGUCUGCCAGAUAAGAUGUUCGUCUUUUGGGAUGUAAACAAUUCUUUAGUGUAAAUACAUAAAUACUGGUACAAUGACGUCAAACUUUGUAAGGCUAUUUUUUUAAAUAAUGCAUUUCAUUUAAAUAGGUAGUUUAGAGACAGUUGAGGAAUAAAUGAAUAGUUUUAGUAUUACUGUUAAAUAAAUCUUUUCAAUUAUUUACUUGAAUAUCCAUCAUGACUUUGUCCAAAUUAGAUCUUUGGUGGACAUAUGAUGAAAUAUAAAUGAUAAAUUAAAAGUAGCAGUAUCAGAAGAGAGAAUAAGUAAAACAAAUUAAACCAGCUGGAUGAACAAUGUUUCCUUUCUUAAUACGAAACUGAAUAGAAACAAAAAAGCUGAUAUUAAACCAAUUCUUUCAUCCUCAAUUUUUGAAAGAAAUUUUAAAAACUUCCAUUUUAAAUGCUUUUAUUUUUCUACUCAUUCAUUUCAUCUCAUUUUUUUUAAAUCUGCAGUUAUUGCAUGUUGUCUCGUAUAACUACUAUUUGUAACAAUUCUUGUUUGUAAGUAGACUCUAAAUAACAACAGCAGUGGAAGUUAGAAUAGUUACUCUGUUUUCUCACCAGAUAUAAUGGCAGCCACGUUUUAAAAACCCUUCUUAGCGAAUACUUUUAAAGCAAAUUUAACUCUUGGAGGAUACAGGAGUAAUUUCAAAUAAUAACAGCAGUAGAAGUGUGAAUAGUUAAUUUCUUCAGUAUCGGCGAAUAUGAAAAUGAAAAAUUGAGACAACAGAGUGGUUCCAAAAUAAUCUUUCAUAUACACUUCUCUGAGGAAACUGUAAAAUUCGUUCGGAAGAAUCAUUGUUAUUAAACGCGUUAAGUAAACUUCAAAAGUUGAUGUGAUUCUCUGCAGAAAAAUUACAUCUUAUAUAAAACGUAUCUCAUAGUUUUAUAUAUUUGAUCAUAGUUUUAACUUUGCUAGUCCCUAUUAUAGCUUUCUGGUGGAUUCCAAAUAGCAGAAGUAAGAAGGGAAUAAACAAAUAUUAAUGAAGAAUAGUUCACGAUGGUUUAGCUAAAGAAUGUACAGAAACAAUAUUCUAUUGUUUCAAAAUACUCCGCCCUAAAUACUUCCUCAAAUAUUUUUGAACAAUUGAAUUUCAAAAUGAACUCACGCGGGAGAAUCAUUGUUACUGAACGCAUCAACUUAAAAUUUAAUAGUUGAUGUGAUUCUUCUCACAUUAAUUAUGUCUGCAGUUAUGGCACCGUGUUGAAUACUUUCUCUAAUUUUCCCUCUUGUUAGUUAUAUCAUGUUUCUUUCCCACGCCAAUUCACUUGUACGCAGCAAACGUGAGCGGCUUAAAUUCGUGAAGACACCAUCCUACGCUCACCGGGAAGAACAGCCAAAUGCAUAUUAUUCAAUAGCAAGAUGUUUAAUACCUUCUCUGUCUGACUCCGUUGUAUUUGUUCUUAUUUUAUUAUGUGUUAUUUUAGUUUAUAUGAGUGUAUUCCGGCUAUUAUGUUACAUAACUUGGUGUAAAAAUGUAAAAGCAACCCAAUUUGUCUAUUGUUCUUGUUCCACUAAGAUCUAUAAAACAUAAGCUCCAUUGAUAGAAAUGGGAUAGAAGAGCCAAAAAUGAUCAAUUCUUUCAAAAAAUUAAUUUUCAUCACAUACUUUACUUCUGACAAUUGACUACAAUGCUCCUUUAGGUUCAAAUGAAAUAUUUUCAUAUCAGAUAUCAAUUAAGACGAAUUUAUUAAAUAAAUUCUUGUUUUAUAUGAAAAUAAGUACCUUAAAUAGAUCAGACUAUAACGAAGCAAAUUAUAUUGAAAUAUCCUAAAAAUGCGUAACAUGAAUGAUAACCUUCUUUGUUCUCUUUGUCCUUUUCUUGAUCGUUAUAGUCAGAUUCAGGAUUUUCAUUCUCUUCAAUGGCAAAAUGAGAAACAGAACAGAAUAAAAUCAAACCAACGAGAAUUGGUAAAUUGUAACCUUACUUUCCAGGGCCGGAUUAAGAUUUUUGAGGCCCGGGGCUAAAAUAGUGACCUUAAGGAAU